Molecule: transfer RNA, 76 nt
Filed under: Rhinogobius davidi
Lineage: Eukaryota; Metazoa; Chordata; Actinopteri; Gobiiformes; Gobiidae
Description: tRNA-Lys
Rfam family: tRNA
About the family: Transfer RNA (tRNA) molecules are approximately 80 nucleotides in length.
Source: RNAcentral
CGCUAAGAAGCUAAACUGGACCCUUAGCGUCAGCCUUUUAAGCUGAAGAUUGGUGCCUUCCAACCACCCCUAGCGA